Molecule: ribosomal RNA, 380 nt
Filed under: uncultured eukaryote
Lineage: Eukaryota
Description: partial 18S ribosomal RNA
Rfam family: Eukaryotic small subunit ribosomal RNA
Source: RNAcentral
CAAUAGCGUAUAUUAAAGUUGUUGCAGUUAAAAAGCUCGUAGUUGGAUUUGUGGUGUAUGGUGUGUUCCGGGCACUUGUUGUCUGAGUAACUUGCCAUUGCCACCCUUGGGUGGAACCUGUGUGGCAUUAGGUUGUCGUGCAGGGGAUGCCCAUCGUUUACUGUGAAAAAAUUAGAGUGUUCAAAGCAGGCUUAUGCCGUUGAAUAUAUUAGCAUGGAAUAAUAAGAUAGGACUUUUUUGCUAUUUUGUUGGUUUGCGCGAGAAGGUAAUGAUUAAUAGGGAUAGUUGGGGGUAUUCGUAUUCCAUUGUCAGAGGUGAAAUUCUUGGAUUUUUGGAAGACGAACUACUGCGAAAGCAUUUACCAAGGAUGUUUUCAUUAA